AAUAAAUUUCCAACGUCUAACACACAUCGUUUACGGCAUGGACUACGAGGGUAUCUAAUCCUCUUCGCUACCCAUGCUUUCGUUCCUCAGUGUCAGUAAUGAUCCAGAAAGCUGCCUUCGCAAUUGGUAUUCUUUCUAAUAUCUACGAAUUUCACCUCUACACUAGAAAUUCUGCUUUCCUCUAUCAUACUCUAGCUGAAAAGUUUUGAUGGCAGUUCCAGAGUUAAGCUCUGGGAUUUCACCACCAACUUUUUCAACCACCUACGAACUCUUUAAGCCCAGUAAUUCCGAACUACGCUAGGUCCCUUCGUAUUACCGCGGCUGCUGGCACGAAGUUAGCCGGACCUUCUUAUUCGGGUACAGUCAUUUUCUUCCCCGACGAAAGAGCUUUACAACCCAAGGGCCUUCUUCACUCACGCGGCAUCGCUGCAUCAGAGUUUCCUCCAUUGUGCAAGAUUCCCCACUGCUGCCUCCCGUAGGAGUUUGGGCCGUGUCUCAGUCCCAAUGUGGCUGAUCAUCCUCUCAAAUCAGCUAUUGAUCAUAGUCUUGGUAGGCCAUUACCCUACCAACAAACU
Molecule: ribosomal RNA, 575 nt
Filed under: uncultured bacterium
Lineage: Bacteria
Description: partial 16S ribosomal RNA
Source: RNAcentral